RNAcentral lists this transfer RNA (85 nucleotides) under Pagastia caelestomontana. RNAcentral describes it as "partial tRNA-Leu". The record is from RNAcentral. Lineage: Eukaryota; Metazoa; Arthropoda; Insecta; Diptera; Chironomidae.
UGGACUUAAGCCCCAUAUAUAAAGUUUAUUACUUUUGUUAGAAUAAAUGUAAUUAAAAUAAAUCAAAAAUUAUAAAUUAUAUAAA